AGCAGCCGCGGUAAUUCCAGCUCCAAUAGCGUAUAUUAAAGUUGUUGCAGUUAAAAAGCUCGUAGUUGAAUUUCGGGACCAAUAUGUCGGUCGUACUUUGUACGUACUAGCAUUAUUGGUUUCUCCCUUCUGAAGAACCACGAUGUCAUUAAUUUGGUGUCGUGGGGAAUCAGGACUGUUACUUUGAAAAAAUUAGAGUGUUUAAAGCAGGCUCGCGCUUGAAUACAUUAGCAUGGAAUAAUGAAAUAGGACGUUUGAUUCUAUUUUGUUGGUUUCUAGGAUCGACGUAAUGAUUAAUAGGGAUAGUUGGGGGCAUUAGUAUUCAAUUGUCAGAGGUGAAAUUCUUGGAUUUAUUGAAGACUAACUACUGCGAAAGCAUUUGCCAAGGAUGUUUUCAUUAAUCAAGAACGAAAGUUAGGGGAUCGAAGACGAUCAGAUACCGUCGUAGUCUUAACCAUAAACUAUGCCGACUAGGGAUCGGAUGAUGUUAAUUUUUA
This 497-nucleotide unclassified non-coding RNA is filed under the name uncultured Paraglomus. RNAcentral's name for it is "SSU rRNA". It matches the Rfam family "Eukaryotic small subunit ribosomal RNA", at positions 569 to 1072 of the family's 1831-position model. The record is from RNAcentral. Lineage: Eukaryota; Fungi; Glomeromycota; Glomeromycetes; Paraglomerales; Paraglomeraceae.